GAUGAACGCUGGCGGCGUGCCUAAUACAUGCAAGUCGAGCGCAGCGGGGACGGGUGAGUAACACGUGGAUAAACUCCUAUAAGACUGGCAUAACUUAGGGAAACCGGAGCUAAACCGGGUGCUUAUAGUUGGAUCCGCGCGGCAUUAGCUAUUUGGUAAGGUAACGGCGUACAAAGGCAACGAUGCAUAGCCGACCUGAGAGGGUGAUCGGCCACAUUGGAACGGAGACACGGUCCAGACUCCUACGUGAGGCAGCAGUCGGGAAUUUUCCGCAAUGGGCGAAAGCCUGACGGAGCAACGCCGAGUGCGUGAUGAAGGUCCUCGGAUCGUAAAACUCUGUUCUUAGGGAAGCGGUACCUAAUCAGAAAGCCACGGCUAACUACGUCCCAGCAGCCGCGGUAAUUC
RNAcentral lists this ribosomal RNA (405 nucleotides) under uncultured bacterium. Its description in RNAcentral is "partial 16S ribosomal RNA". It matches the Rfam family "Bacterial small subunit ribosomal RNA", at positions 28 to 526 of the family's 1533-position model. The record is from RNAcentral.